This 90-nucleotide transfer RNA is filed under the name Bacillota bacterium. RNAcentral describes it as "tRNA-Ser". It matches the Rfam family "tRNA". From Rfam's summary of the family: Transfer RNA (tRNA) molecules are approximately 80 nucleotides in length. Their secondary structure includes four short double-helical elements and three loops (D, anti-codon, and T loops). Lineage: Bacteria; Bacillati; Bacillota. The record is from RNAcentral.
GGAGGGGUGUCCGAGCGGUUUAAGGAGGCGGUCUUGAAAACCGUUGAGCCUUUACGGGUUCCGUGGGUUCGAAUCCCACCCCCUCCGCCA